AGUAAUCUUCGGGGUCGGGUGAAAGUCCCAACCGGCGGUAUAGUCCGCGACCCGCAGUAUCUGCGGCUGAACCGGUGACUUUUCUGUGCAAAGGAUGCAUGGCAGGGGAUUCCGGUACCGACAGUAAAGUCUGGAUGAGAGAAGAAGGUU
RNAcentral lists this non-coding RNA (150 nucleotides) under [Ruminococcus] lactaris. Its description in RNAcentral is "Ruminococcus lactaris FMN sequence". It matches the Rfam family "FMN riboswitch aptamer (RFN element)". From Rfam's summary of the family: The RFN element is a highly conserved domain that is found frequently in the 5'-untranslated regions of prokaryotic mRNAs that encode for flavin mononucleotide (FMN) biosynthesis and transport proteins. This element is a metabolite-dependent riboswitch that directly binds FMN in the absence of proteins. The record is from RNAcentral. RNAcentral also lists the same sequence under 1 other name. Lineage: Bacteria; Bacillati; Bacillota; Clostridia; Lachnospirales; Lachnospiraceae.